GAUGAACGCUGGCGGCGUGCCUAAUACAUGCAAGUCGAGCGAACGGACGAGAAGCUUGCUUCUCUGAUGUUAGCGGCGGACGGGUGAGUAACACGUGGAUAACCUACCUAUAAGACUGGGAUAACUUCGGGAAACCGUAGCUAAUACCGGAUAAUAUUUUGAACCGCAUGGUUCAAAAGUGAAAGACGGUCUUGCUGUCACUUAUAGAUGGAUCCGCGCUGCAUUAGCUAGUUGGUAAGGUAACGGCUUACCAAGGCAACGAUGCAUAGCCGACCUGAGAGGGUGAUCGGCCACACUGGAACUGAGACACGGUCCAGACUCCUACGGGAGGCAGCAGUAGGGAAUCUUCCGCAAUGGGCGAAAGCCUGACGGAGCAACGCCGCGUGAGUGAUGAAGGUCUUCGGAUCGUAAAACUCUGUUAUUAGGGAAGAACAUAUGUGUAAGUAACUGUGCACAUCUUGACGGUACCUAAUCAGAAAGCCAUGGCUAACUACGUG
This 497-nucleotide ribosomal RNA is filed under the name uncultured bacterium. RNAcentral's name for it is "partial 16S ribosomal RNA". It matches the Rfam family "Bacterial small subunit ribosomal RNA", at positions 28 to 507 of the family's 1533-position model. The record is from RNAcentral.